AGCUGUGAGGGCAAUCUAACUGCAAUAUCUGUCACCCCACUGAUUACCAGAGUUGAUCUGGCCAACCUGGCUGGCGGGGUGUCUGCUUUGCUCCCUCACCUUUCCAGAUAUACCUAUCCCAGAAUCAGUGGGCACACAGCCAUACUUGCAGGAAGGGUAUAAGGGCACCUGUGCUCUACUGCUACAAUCUCCAAACAAGCUCUCAAGUUGAGCUGACUUGAAACCUUCAUGAAUUCAAAUGCAAAUCUACAUAACUGACUCUGU
RNAcentral lists this small nuclear RNA (264 nucleotides) under Dipodomys ordii (Ord's kangaroo rat). Its description in RNAcentral is "7SK RNA". It matches the Rfam family "7SK RNA". From Rfam's summary of the family: 7SK was discovered as an abundant small nuclear RNA in the mid-70s but a possible function has only recently been suggested. Two independent studies have found that 7SK RNA binds the CDK9/cyclin T complex (known as elongation factor P-TEFb). P-TEFb activates transcription by phosphorylating the C-terminal domain of RNA polymerase II. Lineage: Eukaryota; Metazoa; Chordata; Mammalia; Rodentia; Heteromyidae. The record is from Rfam by way of RNAcentral.